ACUGAGUCCUCAAAUUGAUUUUGCUGCUUUUGUUUUUGCUCAUUUCCAUUUAAUAACAUUCUUGGCGCUGUGUUUUGCCUUCUCAGAUCAGUUCACAGCCAGCGAGAGGUCCUGGAUGGAGGACAGAGCCUGACAGUGCUGCUCUGCAGGAUAGGGACCACCUGGACCGUGGACAGGAUAUGGACUUGUGCUGACUUCAACUGUACCUACAUGGGUGAGGCACUGCAAAGGGUGAUCCUGGGAGAUUCCCACAGCUCUUCCCAAGAAACUACGUGAAAUUACGGACCCAAGUAAAGCGUGGAAAGAACCUGUGAUCUUAUCUACUCAGUAUUCUGAUGCCACUGGGAGAGAUUUCCAUGGCUGGUUUGGAAACAUCUGUGCACGUACUUGGCUUUAGGGGAGCUGGGUUCUGCUCCACUCCCAGCCCCAGGAGCUGCAGUACUUCUCUCUGCCCUCAUGUUGCCCUUCAGCAGGGCUGUGUUCAGGCAAACCAAGCUCCACCUCAAGUUUCUGUAGUGGUGUUCCUCUUGGCUGAAUCCAGGCAUGCAGUGUGCCCAGCCACUGAAUAGAGCACCUGUUUUCCAGUGUUUUAGUCUUGUUGUAAUUGUGUUCAAUACAAAUCUCAUCCCAUAGCCCAGGAAGUGGCAGUUCUUCGAAGGGAAUC
This 664-nucleotide long non-coding RNA is filed under the name Meleagris gallopavo (turkey). Its description in RNAcentral is "lncRNA (ENSMGAG00000018113.1)". Lineage: Eukaryota; Metazoa; Chordata; Aves; Galliformes; Phasianidae. The record is from RNAcentral.